Molecule: ribosomal RNA, 501 nt
Filed under: uncultured bacterium
Lineage: Bacteria
Description: partial 16S ribosomal RNA
Rfam family: Bacterial small subunit ribosomal RNA
Source: RNAcentral
ACUCAAAGGAAUUGACGGGGGCCCGCACAAGCGGCGGAGCGCGUGGCUUAAUUCGAUGCAAAGCGCAGAACCUUACCAGGUCUUGACAUGCUCGUGGUAGGACGUAGAGAUACGAACGACCCUUCGGGGAGCGAGUACAGGUGCUGCAUGGCUGUCGUCAGCUCGUGCCGUGAGGUGUUGGGUUAAGUCCCGCAACGAGCGCAACCCGUAUCUUCCUGUUGCCAGCGCGUCAUGGCGGGGACUCAGGAGAGACUGCCGGUGACAAACCGGAGGAAGGAGCGGAUGACGUCAAGUCCUCAUGGCCCUUACGACCUGGGCUGCACACGCGCUACAAUGGCCAGUACAGACCGUCCCGAUACCGCAAGGUGGAGGCAAUCGGAGAAAGCUGGUCUCAGUUCGGAUCGAGGUCUGCAACUCGACCUCGUGAAGUUGGAGUCGCUAGUAAUCGCAGAUCAGAACGCUGCGGUGAAUACGUUCCCGGGCCUUGUACACACCGCCCGU